Molecule: unclassified non-coding RNA, 352 nt
Filed under: Dendronephthya gigantea
Lineage: Eukaryota; Metazoa; Cnidaria; Anthozoa; Malacalcyonacea; Nephtheidae
Description: lysophosphatidic acid receptor 4-like, transcript variant X4
Source: RNAcentral
CAUGUUUUUUUACUUCUGUCUGCCAGAGACCGUCGUUCUCUACUGAAUAUGUAACUGAAGGCUGAAGCCACAGAAAAUAAAUAAAUAUAUUUAAUCAUCCAUGGUAAAGCUCAGUCAUCAGUGUCACAGUGUGCCGAAAAUGGCGACGAAUUUUGCCGAAGGGACCGAUGAAGAAAUGUAUAAUUUUAAAGACAGAAUUUCAAGGCAACACCAGACAGUGAGGGUGCAUGCCAACAGUCACAAGUUCUAGCAGGACAGGCCUCACAACCCAAAGCCAUCACCUUUCGGCAUUGGCAUUGCCGAUGUUUGUUGUCAAGUUCCUGUCAAAACACACUCGAGUCCUGAAUCUACA